AGUGAACGCUGGCGGUAGGCCUAACACAUGCAAGUCGAACGGCAGCACAAGAGAGCUUGCUCUCUGGGUGGCGAGUGGCGGACGGGUGAGGAAUACAUCGGAAUCUACCUUUUCGUGGGGGAUAAUGUAGGGAAACUUCCGACAAUCCCGCAUACGACCUUCGGGUGAAAGCAGGGGACCUUCGGGCUUUGCGCGGAUAGAUGAGCCGAUGUCGGAUUAGCUAGUUGGCGGGGUAAAGGCCCACCAAGGCGACGAUCCGUACCUGGUCUGAGAUGAUGAUCAGCCACACUAGAACUGAGACACAGUCCAGACUCCUACGGGAGGCAGCAGUGGGGAAUAUUGUAAAAUGGGCGCAAGCCUGAUCCAGCCAUACCGCGUGGGUGAAGAAGGCCUUCGGGUUGUAAAGCCCUUUUGUUGGGAAAGAAAAGCAGCCAGUUAAUACCUGGUUGUUCUGACGGUACCCAAAGAAUAAGCACCGGCUAACUUCGUGCCAGCCGCCGCCGUAA
RNAcentral lists this ribosomal RNA (506 nucleotides) under uncultured bacterium. RNAcentral describes it as "partial 16S ribosomal RNA". It matches the Rfam family "Bacterial small subunit ribosomal RNA", at positions 29 to 523 of the family's 1533-position model. The record is from RNAcentral.